RNAcentral lists this long non-coding RNA (570 nucleotides) under Brassica napus (rape). Its description in RNAcentral is "long non-coding RNA (BNAP_LNC024396)". Lineage: Eukaryota; Viridiplantae; Streptophyta; Magnoliopsida; Brassicales; Brassicaceae. The record is from RNAcentral.
AUCAUGGAAAAAGCUCUACGCAAGUGUUUAAUGGGUUUUUCUUCAAUCAGUUUGUAACAUGAUGCAAAAUCUUUCAAUUUUCAAAGAUAUGAUGGAUAUAUGCAGCGUUAGUAACUAACAUUUCUCUACAACAAUGAUGAGCUCUUUUUUUUUUGAGCAACACAAGAUGAUUUCAUUAAAAUGGUUAAGUAGAGUUUUGGGCCAGAAUAAGUGAAGAUAAGCAUGCCUUAGUAAGCCCAUCAGCUGGCCUAUUACAAUCUCUAGGGAUGAAAACGAAAAGACAAGAAGAAAACGGAGAACUGGUGGAGAAUGUGAGAUCGUCGAUGUCGGCGAGAACCCCGAAGAGAUCCGUCGUGCACCGGCGAGAGGUGAUUGCUCUUACUAGCACUUGAGAGUCUGUGCGAAUACAUAUAUGAGAGUGGUUGAGAGAGGCCGCCUGAAGCAAAGCUUCUUGGAUGGCAAGGGCCUCACCCAUACAUGGAGAAGAGACAUGUCUCUGAUAGCAAGAUCCUCUGGCGAGUUCCGUAGCAUUAUGGUCAGUAAAGAUCCAGGCUAAGCCCGCCGCUUAGC